RNAcentral lists this ribosomal RNA (520 nucleotides) under uncultured Glomus. RNAcentral describes it as "SSU rRNA". It matches the Rfam family "Eukaryotic small subunit ribosomal RNA", at positions 569 to 1091 of the family's 1831-position model. The record is from RNAcentral. Lineage: Eukaryota; Fungi; Glomeromycota; Glomeromycetes; Glomerales; Glomeraceae.
AGCAGCCGCGGUAAUUCCAGCUCCAAUAGCGUAUAUUAAAGUUGUUGCAGUUAAAAAGCUCGUAGUUGAAUUUCGGGAUCAGUACGCCGGUCGUGCUUCGGUAUGUACUGGUGUCACUGAUCCCUCCCUUCUGACGAACCGUUAUGCCAUUUAUUUGGUGUGGCGAGGAAUCAGGACUGUUACUUUGAAAAAAUUAGAGUGUUUAAAGCAGGCUCACGCUUGAAUACAUUAGCAUGGAAUAAUGAAAUAGGACGUUUGAUUCUAUUUUGUUGGUUUCUAGGAUCGACGUAAUGAUUAAUAGGGAUAGUUGGGGGCAUUAGUAUUCAAUUGUCAGAGGUGAAAUUCUUGGAUUUAUUGAAGACUAACUACUGCGAAAGCAUUUGCCAAGGAUGUUUUCAUUAAUCAAGAACGAAAGUUAGGGGAUCGAAGACGGUCAGAUACCGUCGUAGUCUUAACCAUAAACUAUGCCGACUAGGGAUCGGAUGAUGUUAAUUUUUUAAUGACUCAUUCGGCGCCUUAA